Xyrichtys novacula (pearly razorfish) is the source of this 15390-nucleotide non-coding RNA. The record is from the annotation of a GenBank genome assembly. Lineage: Eukaryota; Metazoa; Chordata; Actinopteri; Labriformes; Labridae.
CUCUGAUCCUGACUGAGGAAACCCAGGACACAUCUGGAACUGCAGGUGAUCCUCAACCAUCCCUGACAUUGGACCAGGAAGUGGUGGAACUGUGAGGAAGGGUCAGAGAGAGCAUGCCAAGGACUGGUGAGUCUGCUACUUUUGGAUUACUUUGGUUUUUUUCCCAUUGCAUUGCUGACAUUUCCUUUCUGGGACUGUGGAGGACGAGUUUUUGUUGGACUAGGCUGGAUCAGGACCAUACCUUUAGACAUUUUGGGGGACUGUAAAAGUUGGGACUCCUACUUUUGGUUUUGAUGACUUUUGGGUUUACAAGUUUUUUUUAGACCUAAUUUCAACCGUCUAGAUUCUGUAUAUUUCAGCUGAUUUGUAAGAAAGUAAGAUGGGCGUCUACGACAAACGUUCAUCUGCUUGUUGCACCAUCAGCGAUCCGACUACUUAAUAAAUAAAUGUCAAGUGUCCAGAAGUGUUCUCGGUGUAGAAAUAAUAACACGAAAUAUAAGAUAACAGAUUUUGAAGGACAUCUAUAAAUAUGAGCUCUUCAUUAACACAGAGAGCAGAGAGUCCUGAGGAUAAUGACUCACUUUAUGUAAAUUCUUUGACUUCUGAAGGACUUGUGAGGAUUUGACCCUCUGACCUCUUGGGCCCCGGGAUGACACAGUUAAAUAUUCAUGACCGUCUCCUGUCUGCGUCUGUCUCCCUCUCUGUGUUUUAAAGUCAGACUUUUACUCCGAUGAGCUCUAAGUUUGUCCGCCCGCUUUACUCCUCGCUGUAGUUCCCUGGAUUAAAACAUACCUGCGUGUUUGUCACUGAUUGAUGUCGGAAAGCUCGGCGUGUGUCCCGAGGCGACCGUCGGCGCCGUUUUAGCAACACGCCGCAAGACAAAUCCAAUCAGCUUCCACGCCUCCCUGAACAAGAGGCUCCGUGAAAACAGCUGCUUUUUAUUCACCGCAUCACAUGACCACGGGUUGAUUUAACUUCCUGUCAUCUCUUACAAACCGCAAUCAAAGCCUUUCCAACGAGCCUAAUGAAACACAGAUGGCAAAUUUCGGUUGAUGAUAUAGACGAGAAAGCAACAAAAUCAGCGUCGGUCUCAGGGUGUGCAGAGAGAAACGUUUGUUUUUAUGAGCGUGUUGUUUGUUCUGAGAUGAUCCACACUUAGAGGGAUGGUGUAAACAGACUCCUCAGGACCACUCUGGGUUUUCUAAAGCUUCACCAACAGCCUUGGUCGACCAUGGAAACAUGCGCCGAGCGUCCUCUUCUUCCCUCGCUCUCUCUUCUCUGCAUCAUCUCUUUUGUGGCUCUUUCCCUCUUCAUGCACUGACCUCCUCAUCUUGCUUUUAAAGUACUCGUUGCUUGUUGUAUCCGGCCUUCCUGUCAUCCUGAGACAUUGAACUGAUGUCUGUUAUGAUCCUGAGCUCAGAGGUGGAUGUGUUUGUGUUCCUGCGCUGUUUUUAACCUCUUUAGGAGCCACGCCACUCACCCUGCUUCUCUGUUCAACCUGCUCCAACUCUCAGCGUAAAUAUUUUCGAUAUCUCUGCCGUUGUCUCCUCCGACGUCUCCCUUCUUUUCGUCUUUGUAACAAUGAAAGUAUAUUUAACUGCUGCUGCACAAACUAGACCAGCUCAGACUCAAGGCUGGAACAAACACUGGCGAGCAAAGAUAUUAGGGCUGAAACGAUUCCUCAAAUACCUCGAUUACAAAUAAUGAUAAAGGAAUUUUCUCCGCCCUUAAAUCGUCACUGUUUCGCACGGAUUCUUUUGAAGGUGACACAAUGCGCUCACGUCACCACAGUAGAAGGAGGAGUAAGCGCUGUUUAGGUUUUGUGAAGCGGAAAACAUUGCUGGAGUCGUAGCAGAAGCAGGUAAAAGGAGUUAUUCAACUCUCGGACACUAAUGUCUUUAGGGGCGUGAUAAAAGUUAGCAUCAUAAUUAGCUUUCUUACGAGCAUCGCAGUCCGCUAACCAAAUGCUUGUUCCACGAGUCGCCUCUAUUUCUCCGAGUCUGGCCUUCAUUGCAGGACUAUAGGAAAUCUAACUGUAUGUGAGUCUGACGUUUGGGUCCGAUCACUCGAGUAAUCGAUAGAAUAUUCGGUAGAAUACUCAAUUACUAAAAUAUUCGAUAGCUGCGGCUCUAAAAGACAUUACAGUCUCUUUAUACAGUCUAUUUUUAUCUGUGCAAUUCUUCACCCAAACACUAGUUGGCAGUGAAAUUUCUACGCUUUAGCUUGGUAUUUGUUUCCAGGUCUGGGACGCGCCAAAAGAGAGCAAAGUUGACCAGCAUUGACGGGCAGUAACGCGUAAUCCAAGGGUGGAGAAUUGACAGAGAAUGCUAGGGACACGUCCCGACCAAUCAUCAGCUGCUACAGUGUAGUCCCUAUCAAAACAACCACAACCAAUGAUUAAUGCACACAAAGGGUUAACAGUCGGUCUCUGUUGGAAGUCCCGCCUCUAACCUAAAUGUCGCUCUUCCAUUGGCUGCCGGUUUCUCGCUUACAUACAUGUGAUUGGCUGUCCCCGCUGUCACUACAUCUGCCUGUAAAACAACAACAACAACAGCAGGUCGGUGUCAGACGUCAGAAGUAUCUACAACUGCUGCUGGGCAUGUUGGAGAAACAAGAAGAUGGAGCAUCGUACAGCGUUGUUUUUGUCCGACAUGAUGGACGCGCUACUUUUUCUAAAGAGGAGACGCACGCUACUCCUCGUGUUUUUGUUCCAGGGUUACGGGGGCGUGGCUCACGCGCACUGUGAGCAUUGUCUGAUCAUACUCCGACUACGCUGGUUACAUGGUAGAGAAAAUCGGAUUCCAAUCACAUUAUCUAGGUGUCUUAGUUUGAGUUCUCAAACUUGGAUUAUAGUCGGACUAAGGUGUUUACAUGCACUUCAGUUGUCUGAUCUUUAUCGGAGUAAGGAAUAAUUCAUUUUUCUUGAGUGUCGUGUAAACAUCCUGACUGUAUCUUGCAGUGAUUAAUAUGGAGUAUACAUGUUCUGUAAACCUGAUGCAGCUCCUCUGAGCUGUUUUGGAGCCGAGUUUGUCGUUUUCAGCAGUUUUUGUUCCUCUUCUUUGUGGGAGUCGCAUCGAUACGAAGCAUCUUCAACCGGGAACAGGACAGAGUGUUCACAUGGUCGUUAAGCCCACACUGAUAUACGCUGUACUCGCUGUUGCCUGGGUUUUAUUACCAAGUCCCAGUCUCUGCUGAGUAGUUUGGGAUGGUACUUCAUGAGGCCUACCCUCCAUGUGAGCACACAAAUCCAGCUGAAGUGCUGAGACGGAGGGCGUUUGAGAGAAGCCCUCAGCUGUACGAGCCACGCUGUUCUGUCCAGUGUUUGUCGUUCCUAAUAUCAUAAUUGUGGGGGUUUAUGAGUACAGAAACAAUGUCCUGCUGAAAACAAUGACAGCUGUCAGCUUGAAGCUCCAGUAAGUGGCUUUAAUUUUCAGAAAGCACAUCAACAGGCCUCUAAAACCUGCUCUUCUCUGAGAACAAACAGCUCUCUUGAAAUAAGAGUGAAUGAUAAAAUGAAAACAUGUCUGCUCUACACAAACAACACACCUCUGAGUAAACCGAACCAAGAACAAGGUCACCGUGUUAAUCUGACGGAAACAGAAAAUCUCUCAAUUGGACUCAGUUAAUGAAGCUUUAAGAGGCAAUAAGAGAUAAAUAACCAGGAGAGGUCGGACCCCCCCUGCUUCCUACUCUUCACCUUGACUCUGCUCUAAAUUAUUCAAAUUGGACUUUAACGACAUCUUUCAUGACUUCCAACUGUAUGCAGAGAUGCAGGUGCUAAUCAGUGUUGAUAAUAAAUUGUAAUGUCAACGACUUAUUAUGCUGAUAUAAUCCUCAAACGCCUGGGGAUAAUAAAUCGGGCUCCUGCGUGUUCCUGCCAAAGAAGGCUUGAAAAGUCGCAUUAAUUAGCGGCGAUAAAUCUGGCUCGUAACUUUAAUAAUGACCUUGCCUCCACUCUUUGUCUUGCAGGGAUCAGUGAUCUCAGUCUGGUCUCUGAUAAUAUUGUACCGGCUCAGGUAUUACAGCGUCAGCACUAUGCAAAUCUCUCCAUUAAUGCCGGAAUAAUGUGGUCGGGAAUGCUUGAUUAAUUAAGUCCGGAAAAAAGCUGACAUCCCGGUGUGUGUCGCAGGUUUAUGAUGAGGAUGUAAAGAACGGUUUCUGAUAAGGACGCAGCAGGAAGAUAACGAGCUGGUGUGAUAACGAGCUGUUGACGAUAACACAGUAAAGAGACUCUGAAAGACUGAAUACUCUGCUUUAUAUGAGGAUUAAGAGUUCGUCUGUUUGAGCGUUUGAGUCACAAACUUUGCUUCAUUUUAGCUACUGUCCCUUCAAGCCCUGUCAGCGUUCUAGAAGCUUCCUUCACUGUUGUCAUGACACAAAGUUGUUUUUUACCUUUUUAGGGAGAUUCACUGACCGGUAAAGUCAUGAUGUAAGCAGAUCUCAUUUUGGUCUCACUUAAUUUUAGUGUGACUUUUUCGGAUUACUGCGACACACAAUUACCUUAAAUCUGAAACUUUACUCAUGUAGUUUUGACGACCAACAGACUGACUUAAAGGGAUAUUCCAGUGUAAAUUCAAGUUAGGGUCAAACACGCCGUAACACAGAGUUAGACCCCCCCUCCAGAGAUGAAUGUUGCCGACCGCUUGCUUCUCUACUUAUACCAACUUUAGUCACGACCGCACGACAGCAAUACACAGCGGUCUUCGUCUCCACAAACGCCACUCUAUAGCCACAAAUAAUGCUCAGAACAGCACCUAACUUCAUCAACAUCUUUUUAACUUUGAAUAAUUUCUUUAGCAGAGAGACUAAACACAACUCACCUACUCUCUUCCAGCAGCUGUUUGUUUUAGCGAGACCCCUGACGAGUCGAUCACCGAGUGCAGCGGAUCAUUUACAUGACGUAAUAAUCAUCAAUUUGUACGAAUCGGUUCUUUAGCUGACUGCUCAAACACAACCAGAGAAGGAGAACAUUUAUUUAUGUCACAUGAGAAGUUGAACAGCGCUGGACUCGGGAUGACAGAGCUCCAAGGAUCUCCAUCACAAGUGACCGUUUCCGGUAUCAUUCAGAUUUAUCUUCUGGACAGAGGUUGGACUUAAACACAACUGAGUAUCACUGGCCAGUUAUCUCUAAGAUAAACAGGCUAACCACUGUUCACAUGAUUUUACUAAAAUGUGCUCUGAAGUAUAUGUGUUGUUGACCUUUACGUGUGUAACUACUGCUGCAAACCGGUCCAACAGAACAAAGGGAGCCUUAUGGCUCAUCAGGUUUCUCCUUAUCAAGCUAGACGUCACACUGUUCUGAGUAAAUGUAAACAUCCAGUAAGUUGAAUUAGUUCAGUGAAAAAGAGCAAAUCUAACCUAAAGUGAAAGACAAUAAUAUUUUUCUCUGCAGACGCGGUAGUUCUUCUGUCUUAGCGUCUCGGUCUGAUUGUAUUUCCAUGAAGAAAUGAUCAUAAAUGUUCUUCCUUGAGCUGCGAAACUCCACUGCACUCAGUGAUCGACUUGUCAGGGCUCCCCUACAAACAAGCGGCUGCUGGAAGAGAGUAGGUGAGUUGUGUUUAGUCUCUUUGCUAAAGAAAUGAGUCAAAGUUAAAAAGAUGUUUGGUGUCUAGUACUAUGGCUGUGACCCUAUAUGUCCUGUUGAUGAAGUUAGGUGCUGUUCUGAGCAUUAUUUGUGGCGUUUUGGUUGAGGUUUGCGCGUUGUCGAUGUAGACCGCUGUGUUUUGCUAUCCUGCGGUCGUUACUAAAGUUGGUAUAAGCAAACGGUCAGCAACAUUCAUCUCUCUUUAAAGUUUCUAGUGUUACAGUAUGUUUGACCAUAACUUAAAUUUACUCUGGAAUAUACUUCAACAGUUUGGACUCGUCUCGUCUUGUCUUGUUGUGCAUGAGGAAUGAGGUGAACUCGAUGCCUCCAUGAACCUUCAUUCUUUAUGUUUGCUGUGUCUUUGUUUGUCUGCCUGGUUGGUCUAAAAUGUCUCUGUUACCUCUUAAAUUCGCUCUCACAGGUCGCUCGCUCAUUUCCGUCUGAAAUAGCUCAGCUUUCUCUCACAACUUGCAGGCUGCAAUUUCGAGCACUCAGUGUAAUCAAAUAUAAUUACAGAAAAUCUGUGCAUGAAUUAUUCCUAUUUAUGUGCGUCUGCCGGUCUCCACACGGCGGCCAUCGUUUGAGAUUUUUCCAAACCGUGGCCAGGACGUUUUGUGUCGCUCUGCAAGCCCCUCCAGUUUCAUCAGAGUUUUAUCUCUCUGUGCAGAAAACGGAGCUCAUUCACAUGAAGAAAUGUGUCCUGAUAGCUACAAAUAACAGCUCUGACAGUGGGUGCUCCUGUGCACUGCACUAACAGAGGAUUUAUGUCAGGGUUUGUUGUUUAAAUGGCAUCAUAUUUUUAUCAUCCGAACCUCUUCUGAGCGUGCCGCAGCCGCCGAACCCACACAGCUACACCCAGAGAUCAUCUAUUAAAGACAUUUUAUGCUACAGCCAGCCGAAAUAAAUCUCCAUGAAUGACAGUCCAGAUAAAAUCCUACAUCACACAACAUGCCGUGUGAGGCGAUAAUGAUGAAUUUUACUGCGAGAGAGAAAAAGCAAUAAGAGGCUAAUUUCACAGAAGAAUCUAAAGAAAAAAGCAGCUGUUUCUGUUUAAUAACGUUGUGAAAUCGUCUUUAUUCUGACGUCGUUUUCGUUCGUCCCUCUAAAGGGAGCAGCAGGAGUUUACAGGUGUUGUGUUGUUUACAAAAUUAGCUGAUUGUGAAUAUUAAAUCACAGCUCUGUUCAUCACUAAUGCAGAGCUGAGCUGGUUAAGAUGCACAGAAUCAAUCAUCUAAAUGGGAGCAUGAAGGCGGAGAGUGCGAGAGUGCGCCGUCUAAUGAGUUGAACCUGCGGAGGGGCUCACCGCUCACCUCAGAGAGUGAUGAAACCGUCUUUAACACACAACAGCUGUUUGAUCCCCUAACCUAAAAAAAUAAGAUCACUACAGGAUGUACAGAGAGGUGCUGCUUCUUUAAGUCAAACAACAGGUGAUCUGCUUCUGUCAGACCAAAAGUGGAGAUCCAUAUCCUGAAACCUCAUGAAGCAUUUUCAAAACCCCCAAAAAUCAACAAUCGAGCUUGACAAGUCUGCGAUCAGGUUUCGAGAGUCCCAAAAGUGAAGAUAGAGAUGAUAAAAAAUGUAUUUUGUGUUGCAAAGUAAUGUAUUGCUAGGGGGAACAAAACGUAGAGCACAUCAGAACGAGCAAAAGCGCAGAACCCUGAGAUCAAAACUAUAGACUGUAUAUAGAAAGGACGCCAUCUGCCUCCUCGCCGGGUGAAGCCUCAGCCUGUUUGAGCCGAGUGUCACGACAGCAACUCUCCACGACUCUCCCGCCGAAUGCGCAUAACGCUACUGCGCAAUGUUGGUUUCAGGAAGUGGAGAAAAAAUCGCGGAAAUACCGAGAGCUUUUUGGCUUCAAAUCUGGAUACUGGCAGAAGGCGGAAUACAGAUAGACCGUAGACCACACACAACAGUUUUUAGUCUCAUUCAUGAAACGCUUAAAUCGGGGACAUUUUCGAGGACAGCUUUUGGAAAUCAGGGAUGUUUGGUCACCUUACUCUACGCGCUUGUUCCUCUAAAGAUGAAAGAUGACUCUACUUUCGAUGGAGCAUGCACUGAGCAUGUGUCUAUCUUCACAGAGAAGACCGUCAUAGACAGGAAGUCAAACACAACAAUCACAGAAUAAAAUCUAAAUUAGCCGCUACGCUCCAAACGCUUCCAGUGGGCGAUGACGCACAUUGUCCGAGGGAGCCGGGACGCACCCAACACAGAUCCUGUAGGUUUUCUGCUUUUGACUUUCUGCAGCCUGAAACAACUCAGCCAACUACAUCUGCAACUGCUCCAGGGUUACGAUCCUCCUCUGUCCGGAUAGUCAAACAUGUUAACCGAAUGUUGAAUUCAGUGGGAUAGAAGCGAGUCAGCUAACUAAACCAGUGACACAGGAUUACACAGAGAGACGUUCAGGGUCGGGUUGGUAAAAAGAGAAUUUAGUGAUGUGUUCAGAGGACAAAAAAAAAAAAUCUGUUAAAGGUUAAAAGUUAAAACAAACUAGAACAGACUCUGUAAGAACUUGGAUCAGGAAGGAGUCUCAAUGAUAGUGUCAGUAUGGAUAAAAAUUAAACUCUUGUAUCUGCAGAAAUAAAACAAAAGUAAAAAUGCUUGGUGGUUAAAUAAGUGAGUCUACCUUCUCUCCUAUUUUUCCUACUUGACAGUUUACACAGGUAUUAAAACUUGACGUAAAACUCCGACUCUGAUCAGGAUUUAUGAGGUUUGUCUGAGCCGACCAAACGGCCUCCAAUCUAAACACAUUUCCUCUUUGUUCUGUUUCCUUAAUCGACCCCUCCUGAUGCUAAAAUUAACUCUAAAUGGUAACACCACCCCGUCUGCCUCCUGUCCACCUGUUGUAAAGAGCGCAGCAGGCAGCAGGUCAGAUCAGGCAGGUAAUCGUCUCAUCAGCUCCAGCCUGAAUCAGCUCCUCCAACAUGCUGAUUUUCCGCUGUGGUUAAAAAAGCUCGCUGUACCGCUGAGCGGGAUUAGAGAGGAGCGAACCAACGGAGCGUGCCGGUGCAUUUAAGUGUAUCAAUUCUGAAUCUGAUUAAUCUUUCCUUUGCCAAUCCCAACGACACCAUCAGGCUGGAGUUUCUACGCUGUUGCAUAUUCUGAUCACCCAAACAUUUAACUUUUAUGUCAGAGCACGGCUCGUGUUGUUUGUGUGGACUACAGAGAAGUUUCAGAGCCGGGGAUGUGAGAAAAACAAGAGGUGGAAGUUUUUUUUAUGAUGCAUUUAAAGAAGAAAGUCAGGAAGUGAAAAAAAACAUCAAAUUUGGUUUAUGACGGAGCCUAGAUUGAUGAUUGAUCAACUAAAUCCCUCCGAGCAGCCAGAACUAAAGGGAUGCACGAUUUUCAAGAUCCAUUUGGUGAAUUUCGUGGUGGAUCACAAGAACCCGCGGAUUCACGUGCAACUGCGUGAUAGCAAAUUGUCUUUAGCUGCAAAGGCUAACUAUAAAAGCAGUAGAUUGUGUCCUUCCAGAGGAGGAAAUCUACUUCUAGACUUCUAGAAUCAGCAUCUCCUCAUCCAUGGUGUCAUCGGGGUGAAAUGACGUCUAAAAACCUUUCACUUGUUCGUCUCCGCCCGUUUGCAUGGUGUGAAAUACGAUCCUCCUGAAACACGGAGUGUUUUAUUUUGAAAAGAAGCCGGAUGUUUUAUUUUGUGUCUGUGCCCGACUUCCUUUCCAGCACGGGUUAAUCUGUGCUGAAUUUAUCCGCCAUGCUCCGGCGUCCAGAAAAAAUAGAACUCUUGUGAUCAGCUGAGGAGUCCGGCGAUCCUCAGAGGAACGGAAAGAAGUCGGUGGAAAUUGACACGUUAACUUGAAUGGUUACGAUCAGCUACGAUCGGAGGAUACGACCUUUUCGUAGCUGUUCUGGAGCAACAUCUUCGUUCAUCCAGCUGUGGAGUCCGGUGAUCCGCAGAGGAACGAAGAGAAGCUGGUGGAGAUUGACUUUUUCGUAGCCGUCCCGGAUGCUGUGGAAAUCAGGGGUAACACUGUGACACAGACUUCGGACUUGAGAGCAGGUUUUUGUUCUGGUGCACCCCGGCAUCAUCCGCUCUCCAGCUCCUCCACUUAAACUUCACCCAGACCACAUGAAUAACCGCACAAACUGCAGCAUAAAUUACCAUGGCAACGAACCUGUAUAAACAUGGAGCACCAUUUCAGCUCCGAAAAACACCGGGUUUGACCUGAAGUUACCUCCGAAACUUCUACCACACUUUGGCCUCUUGUCUUUCAGAGAUCGGCACAGACGGAUAACUGCUGCGAGUCUCCAACUUUAUACAUUUUGAUCAGAACAAAGAACAUCGAGGACUGUCACUGGUUGGUUAAUCUUAUCUCAGACAGAUGUGUGUGUGUGUGUGUGUGUGUGUGUGUAGGAGAUCAAUCACAGCCGGUCGAGUAAAACAGUCCCCCCUCCUGUUGCGGUGGGCCUGAUGUGAGUGAAUGUGACAUGUUUUAUUAUAAGUCACAGCGCUUUGCUCUGCACUUCACCUCCAAUUAAGAGCGCUCACCUUCUGUGUGUCGACCUCUGAAGACAAUCCUCCUCUCUCUGCACAUUGAUGAGAUCUGGAUCUGACCUGAACUGGCCUGAACCCCCCACAGACCCUCUCAGAUCUGACACGUCAGAUUACUAAUACCAUGCUGUGUAUCUUUCAGCUGAGAUGUGGAUAAAACAACAUGAAGAAUGACACUCGCACUGCACACUUAAACGAUAACAUAAACAUGAACGAUGGGGGACGCUUGGGGAUCUUGGUGACCCUGUAGCCUUUCUGCUGGACAGGUAAACCGCUUUAACAAAGUAAGACAAGUGUCUGUAACAGAAGUGUUUCUUGUCAAACGGACCUGCUGUAGCGUGUUGUAGCGCCAUCGCUAAACUGUCCUCCCUCGGGUCCUGGACUAUGUCACUUUAUCCUCGUUGUAGAAGUCCUGCAAACAUUGUGUUUGCUGGUAGUCUGUUGGCAUCUACAGUAGCACCAAUGCUUUUGACUUUCACCUUGACUGGGCCCCAUUUGUAAUGAUCUGAAGGAUUUAUCUGCAUUAUAUCUGAAUUUAAUUGGAACGAUACGAGCGAGCAGGAGCGCCUGUUUGUGGGCGGGGCUUGAGAGGAGGAGCUGAGGAGAAAACUGGUUGGGAGGGGUAGAGUUUACAUUCAAGAUUUCUCCUAAAAACUGGAACUAACUCAGAUCCUGACUACAACACCUUUUAUCCCAAAUUUCCACUGCAUGCAGAACAGUGACGAAAAGGCUGAUGGCGCAGAUCGCCACUAAUUGCCGCUGAUCAUUUCCAUCCAAGUCAAAUUCCACCGGCUUCUUUCCGAUCUGCUGCAGUUCAGCGGGCUUCAUAGCCGUUCGCUAAGGUUCUAUUUUUUGUGGACGCCAGAGCAUGCCGUAUACAUUCAGCACACAUGAACCCGUGCUGGAAAGGAAGUCAGGCUCAGACAAGAAAUAAAACAUUUGCCGUCUUUUCAAAAUAAAACCUGAAUUUCUUUAUACGGAUCGUAUUUCACACCAUGCAAACAUGGGCGCGGACGAACAAGUCAUGGGUUUUCAGACGUCAUUUCACCACAUUGACACCAUGAUGAGGAGAUGCUGUUUUUAGAAGUCCAAAAUCAUGGAAUAAUCUCUGACCGGUCUCAUUCCUUAAAUACAGACAAUGGUAAAAAGGAAAUGGCGUGGGACUCUAUAGCAGGAGUAAUGGGAGUGGAUGGUAAGUUACAAAUUCGUACCAAUAUAUAUUUCUUAUACGGUUAUGUGUCUGUCUUUAUAGAGACAGCUCAUUAUCCUGCUAUCGCAUGUGAAUUCGCAGGUUUGUCGUCAUGAUUCCCGCCCUCCAAAAUCCGCCUCAAAAACACAUCUGGUAGGCUUUGGCGCAACCGUUACGCAGUAGCACCGUUCAACACACGGUGGAAUUUGAGGGUUAGCUGUGGGUGAAUAACAGUGUUAGAUGUUCUUGAUAUCUCAGGUGGACUCUGUAGAUCACUUUGGUAAAUGGUCACCAUCCGGGUCUUGAGCGAUUGAAUAAAGCUUUUAAAACUUAGGAAUCGGGUUAUCGACCGUUUCAUGACAGCGUGGCGAGGGUCAUUACACUCAGGUCUUCAGCAUGGACGUCGGUAAACGAUUGGGUUUGGAUUGAUAGUGUAAAGUGAAAUCCGUCGAUCCUCCUACUUUUAAUCACUCACCUUAUCAAUACCAAGUUCAUCAAUACUUUUGAUAAACUGUUACAUCUCCUUAAUUAAAAAGUGCCAAACACUCCCUGAAGUUCUCAUCCUGGACUCAGAGAACUUUAAAUGUGCUCUCCCACGGAACUAUUGAAGAACUCGAUAAUCAAUAGGAAAUAAUAACCAGUUGCAGCCCUCAUUAAAAGUUUCUAACUCGACUUAUUAGAAAACCGUCUAUUCAGUGCAGUUGUUAUCCCCGCUCCACCACCUCCCGUGUUAAUCAAUCGCCUCCGGACUGUGAUGCAGCUCCAGGUCCCCGUUAACGAGCUCAUCAGGUCCAGGUCAGAUCCAUCUGGCUCUGCAGAUGAAGAUCAGCUCCAAGAAUGAAAUGUCUGCAGUUGCCAGAAGUCAUAUCCUCAGUUAUUUUUAAUCAUCAACAGAGCUCACACUCCACUCCACCAGGGGGAUGAAUUCAUAUGCUGCCCACCUCCUCAUUAAGAGGAGCUCGCAGAGGGAGUUGUUGCCAAAGAGUAGCUCCAUGUUUCCUCACCUUUUUCUGCCGGCAAUUAGCGAUCACGCCUCAAACUGUGCGCAGGAUCCAGACUAAGACGGUGAUGAUCUAAUGAAUCUAAUUUAAUCAGUCGAUGAGGAAACAUGAACUAGUUGGACUUGUAACUGAGCUUGUCCGGCUUCUGCAGCGAGUGAUUUAUCAGUAUGAGGGUCAAAGACAGAUUUAUUGGCUUAAUAUAUUCCUGCAUUUUCCUUUCUCUGGUGUAAAAACCUCGUUUGAAUCCACGGAUAACGAUUCUUUCGAUCUUCUGAUUAAAUAAUCACAGAUUUAAAGGCCUCAACACAAACAGGAAGACAACUUGUUAUCGUGAAAUUGCUCAUGAAUCUGCGGGUUCUGAUCGUGAUUCCUGCGGUCCGUAAUCCGCCACGAAAUUUGUCUCACAAACGGAUCCGACAGGGAUUGGCAUACAGCGAAAAUCGCCUCCAUUCCGGAUCAGAGCCAUUCCAGAUGGGGUGAAAAUCCCAGGUUUCUCCUUCUUAAAGCAGUUGAUCUGUUUGAUAUUUCAUAUACAUGAUUAAUAUCAAUCCCUAAACACAUCUAUGUGCCAAUUUCUGCUCUACUGUUAUAGCGCCACCCAGUGGAAACACAUGGUCCUAACUUCUGCAUACAUGGAAUGUACAGAAGACGAACACAGCCAUGGAUUUUUCUUUUUUAUGCACCGUUAUCUCAUGAUAAUGACUUAUCUUGUUUGUUUUCUUGUGAUAACAGAAAUGGCGUUCUCGCCGACCUCAACGGUAACUUUUAAAAAUGCCCUCCAGAUUUGGGAUAUUUCGGAAACGCCGCAGGAACUGAAUGAACUCUGUUACACUGAGAUAACGAGAUAAUAAGUCAUUAUCACAAGAUGACAGUGUAUAAAAAAAACAUCAUGGCCGUUCUCAUCUUCCGUGGGUUUGAGCCUGUUCAUAGAAACAGUGCCCCCUGUUGGACGAAGUGGUAUUACCUCACACGACAUUUUCUAUAUUAAACACAUGCUGACAGUCGGAGUCUGAGUGGAUCUACAGAGACAUUCACCUCCUGGUUUUUCUUCCACUUAUUCCUGCUCAGUCCUCGCUGCAGCACAGUCUCGCUCCGGUGAACAUCCCUCAGCUGCUUCAGGUCCCGACAUAGACCCGUUUAUCGCCACUUGCAGCUUUAAUUAAGCUCUCAUUCUUACACUUUUUAAAACUUUUAUUUCAGUCGCCAACUAGAGGCUCAAUGAAAACCGACAACCUCAGCAACCCUGUCAUUUAAAGACGAGGCUCAGCCGUCCACAAACUCUGCAGGGCAUGAAUGAGUAAGCUCUGCAGCUCCGUCCUGCUCCUCUUGUCCUGACAUUCAGACAGAUUUUUAAAUGAUUUUAAUGCUGCACCUUGUUCACUUCCUUACUUUGGUGACAUUAAGUCAGUGAGGCAUGUUGGGAACUCUGACAUCUGUCAGAAGACGCUGCCUGACGUCCUGGAGCUGGAGUGGUUAAUGUUUAAUUAAUGACUGAAGGCUCCUCUGCCAGACAGAGGUUGUCUGUCACGUCACAUCUGAGGGAAAACAAAGAGUGAGGAGGAAGUCUCCGGUGUCCUUAUCCCACAUCGCUCUGUCUGCCAUCCAUCACUGCUCACAGACCUCCAAGUAUUCAUCAGGGUUUGUUUCGCUCUCUUAAAGAUUUACAUGUCGUGAUGAAAACAUUACCAUCCCUUUUCUUUUUCCAGCCGUGAGAAAAUGUGUGAGCCGAGGCGUGUGAUUGUGUUUAUGUGGGUGUUUUUGAAUCGAGGAAGGGUGACUGUGUGCAUCCACACGUAGGCAUAUGUGCGCGUGUAAAUAUGAAUGCUUGGAUCUGCCUGCAUCACUCAGCGCAUAUGGCGCUGAAGUAAACAAAAGCUAGCGGGCCAUAUGUCUUCCUGCAGGUGCCGCUCGGAGCUGAAGAGCCUGAAAUCCUCCAGAUGUCAUCUCAGUUUUGCUGCGAGGUAUUCUUAACUUUGCACAUCUUUCUUCCACUCGUUUCAAGUUUAACUUUGAAAAAGUGACAGCGGAAAAGAGCGGGUACUUAGAGCGCACAGCUGCUGUAUAAAGAGUCUGUGAAUGAUACCUUACAGGGUAAUUCUUCAGGCACACACUGUCACAUCCUCUCCAUGCUUCCUCACAUACUUUAUGUUUAUCUGUGGUCCCAGUUUUGUCCUUUUCACACUAAAACACUCGCUGUAUUCAGGGCCGGAGGUUGUCAACAGGUAAGGCAGGCAGUUGACUGGGGCCCCAGGCCACUAGGGGGCCCCCAAGGGCUGACGAACCUUACCCCACAAAAAUGUCCUAAAAUAUUGCAACAACUAGUCGUCACAUUACAAUGACAUCUUAGAUGGAUACCCACCUAAAUGGGCCCCAUGUCAUCCCUGUCGCACCACUAUGUGAGCGACGUCCAUUUUCACUGGAGUGUGUCGAUUGAAAUAACGUCAAAAUCAGGCGUGAAGUGAAAUUACUUAUCAGGGAGUAAAAGAAAGUAAAAAUAAAAUAUAUAGCGAAGUUUAGUCAACACUUUAACUGUCUCCACACACCAAGCGCGAGUAAAAUUAUUGACGCGAAUGAAUUACAAGUCAAUGCAAAGACGCGAUUAGAUGCUCCUACUACUCUGGCGGCGCGAAUGACGCAAAUGUUGAAUUUGUUUAAAUUGGACUGAAUUGUUGCAUAAAAUCCUUUUAAGAGUUUUGUUUCCUUUUUAAAUGUCUUUAGAAACGUGUCUCAUGAUUUUGACUUCGAAAGACGUGAACUUGUGAGCUGUGGUGCUUCUGUCCGUUCAAACACACGUAUCAUGAAGGACAAACGCGUCCUUGUGGAUACAUCACGUUUGUGUCGACAGAAUUAAAAGUGGCGGCAAUAAAAAUCUGACCUGCGGUGAUUUUUCUUCAUUUUCAAACCUGUAACUGAGUCUCUUUGUCCAUCAGGCAUCAAGUCCCGACCAAAGCUUUGUGUGAGUCAGUUUCCUGUUGAUGAAACGGACCUCAGACCCGCCUCAGAGUUCUGGUUUGAUCAGACCGUGAGGAUUUUCCAGCCCAGAGGUGUUAGGGGACCAAUAAACUCGCUUUCUUCCAGUCCUGUUGAUGCAAAUUGCUUCUUCCACAUACAU